RNAcentral lists this ribosomal RNA (253 nucleotides) under uncultured bacterium. RNAcentral describes it as "partial 16S ribosomal RNA". It matches the Rfam family "Bacterial small subunit ribosomal RNA", at positions 524 to 776 of the family's 1533-position model. The record is from RNAcentral.
UACGGGGGGGGCAAGCGUUGUUCGGAAUUACUGGGCGUAAAGGGCUCGUAGGCGGCCAACUAAGUCAUACGUGAAAUCCCUCGGCUUAACCGGGGAACUGCGUCUGAUACUGGAUGGCUUGAGUUCGGGAGAGGGAUGCGGAAUUCCAGGUGUAGCGGUGAAAUGCGUAGAUAUCUGGAGGAACACCGGUGGCGAAGGCGGCAUCCUGGACCGAUACUGACGCUGAGGAGCGAAAGCCAGGGGAGCAAAAGGG